AAAUGUCAUGAUAUUUGGCUUGUUCCUUUUCUAAUCCUAAACUAAUUUGUUACUCUAUGAUGUUUAUUUGCCAUUCAACCUAUUUAUAAGCUUCUAAUGGCAGGUUUACUGUAGAUUAAGCCCAGUUUCGCUGCAUGAAAGGUUAUGGAAUCACAUGAAAGUUUAUUUACUGGUUAGCUUUGUAUCCCUGCUAGAUCUGAAAAUGAAAAUAUGCCAUUUCCUCAAAAAAUCUGAUAGAUUGCAGCAGGGGUGGUGGUUUGGAUUAGUCAAACGGAACUUGUUGCAGUAGACAUAAGGUGUUUGCUUUUGCUGGCUGGACACUUGCCAAGGUACGAUCUGCUACACUCGACACAUGGCUUCCAGAACCAGUUGCAUUUAUUCAAACAAUGGGAAAUGAGAAGUCAAAUAGCUACUGGGAAGCAGAACUGUCUCCAAAUUACAACAGAAAUCUUUUGGUGGGCUCUAGUUGAUGAAUAGCCUGGAUCCAUCACACGUGCUACGAAUCACCUUAGCACCCAUUUUCUACGUAACAUCUGUUUGUUUGUGGUCUAAACACCUUCUUGGUCUUAUUGGAUGUCUUUCACUUGGCAAUACGAGAUUUCUUGUGCAUCAACUAAAGCUUUGUGUUUUCCUAAAUUGUACAUGGUAAAAUGGGAUUUCACUAACUUGUUAGCAUGCCUGACUUGAGCUGACAAAACAGGUUUCUUCUAAUUCAAAAGCAGAGCCGGUCUCAGUGCAGGCUGAUUCAACACAGAAAGUGCAACCUACACCCAAUAUCCCACCUCCAAAGGUUGUUGAAAUCAUUGACCGGUAUGAGACAGUGCAUUCCAAAGAGCUCAAGAGGCAAUAAGCUUGCAUUUAUAUAGGACCCGAAAAUGGACAAAACCUGCACCAGGAUAGUAACAGACAUGUUUCCGAGGGGGCAAAACCCAAAGGUAGGGGAGCUCUGAAGAAGGCUCCUGCUUGAAAGGUGUGCUUGCAAAUCCUGAACUUCUUAUUUCCCAAGUAUCUCCCUGUUUUGGUGGACUCCUCAUUGCCUUUUUGGUUUCGGUCUUUCAACAAAAAAUGCCGACUGCCGUUGAUAGUGAAGAGGAAGAUGAUGAGGUGCUCGAGCUGAAAGAAUGAAUGAUGAGGUGCUCGAGCUGAAAGAAUGAAUGAUUGUGUUAAGAUUAGGGCUGAAGUUGGAAAUGAAUGAUUGUGUUUGAUUGAAUGAAUGAAUGAUUGUGUUUGAUUGAAUGAAUAAAUGACUGUGUUUGAUUGAA
Magnolia sinica is the source of this 1262-nucleotide long non-coding RNA. RefSeq lists it as uncharacterized. The record is from RefSeq and is a predicted model, not a curated record. NCBI's taxonomy places the organism in Eukaryota, Viridiplantae, Streptophyta, Magnoliopsida, Magnoliales, Magnoliaceae. The transcript has 6 exons.